UUUAUGGUUCCAGUCCCUACUAUGGAGUUGAUAAAGAUAUAUAUGAACAGAGAGAUCCUACACCGGUGCCAUAUACUGACUACCUGGUCAGUGGAGCAAUAAUAGGAGAGUUGAACUGCCUAACUACCCAAGAAAUGGAAUAUACAGUUAUCUGUGAAACUGCUGUUCAGACGUGUUUUAUUUCUAUGGACGACUUGUUUGAAGCGUUUUUACAAUACCCAUCUUUGGAAUAUAAAAUAUGGUUAAAACUUGCUCUUGAGAUCACUAGUAAAAUUUUCAAGGAAAACCUUGCUUGCCAGUUACCAUUGGAAAUAUUGUGGAAACAGAUGGUAGCAGUCAUCAUUCACUAUGCUCAGAUUCUAAUACUUCUUUGGCAGCUCAAGGACAAUCCAUUGCUGAGUCAGUCUUAUGAAGGGUUAAAGUGCUCCAGCACCAUCAGCUACCACACAAGAAAUCCAGGCAGAAGUCUUUGAAGGAGAAGAGUUUAGAGUCUACUAUACCCAAAUACCCUAAUGGAUUUUUUGUUGUUGGUAUAAUUGAUUUCCCUUUUUAUUGUGAAAUCUAGUUUGUUCAGGUUUAUCUCCUUUAGUGUUGUUCUGUUGUUCUACUGACAACAUAUAGUGUUAUUACAAUUUUUAUGAAACAAGUUUGAGCACUGCACCUCAUUUGCACAAAGCGCUUUUUUCCAGUAACCCAAACCCAUACCAUGACUUAGUGGCAGUUAGUAAUAGAAAACAAUCCUUUUACCAUCAAGAAGCCUUUUCUAUGGCAAUGGAGGUUACACAUACCCACUGAAAGUCCUUUCCUAGUUAUUGCAGGACACUUUCACUCAAUGGGAGAACUUGACAAUGAAAGCAAAAUUUCAAAAGCUACAUACUUAUGCAGCAAUAAGAAAUAGUUUGCCUUGCCUUUGAACUCCCCGGUUACCACUUCCACUGCUCCUAGGCCCAGGAGCCGCCCCACCUCCUGCUCAAGCAGGGCUACAUGCAAGGGAUCCCCCAGGAAGGACGGGGGCAAGGAGGAAGUAAACUGGAGGGUGUAGCCCGAGGAAAUGGUGUUGAGGACCCCAUCGGUCCAAGGUCAGCCACGGCCACUCAAGCCCACAGCCGACUGGUGAAAGGAAGCUUUAUUGGGGGUGGAUCCCUGAUGAGAACUGGCAGGGUGCCCCUAGGCGUCCCAUCAAAACCGCCUUUUCCCCCACCGGCUUGCCCUUGGAGGACCCAAGCUGGGAGGCAGGGCAAGACUGCCUCUGUGGGCACCUCUUAUAGUCAAACGACUUCUUAGAAGCGGUCUCAUAUUUUGGGUGGGUGGCCUGAGCAGGAGUCUACUGCGGCUUGAAUUUAGUUUCAGCCGGAGUUUGGAGACCCAGAGUCUGGAGAGUCGUGCGCAAGUCUUUCAGGCCAUGCUGCUUUGCAUCCGUUUGUUCCGCAAACAAAGCUUUGCCAUCAAACGGGAGGUCCUGCAGGGAGGUCUGCGCCUCACUGGACAGUCCAGAGAGCAGGAGCCACGACACCCUUCUCAUGGACACCGCUGAGCCCAUGGACCGCGUGGCUGUGUCUUCUGUACGCGAAGCUGCCUGCAAGGUUGCCCUGGCAGCUGCUGUACCCUCCUCCACCAGCGCUUUGAACUCCUUCCUGUCACGCUCCUGGAGGGAGUCCUCAAACUUGGACAGGGGGCCCCACAGAUUGAACUCAU
Molecule: non-coding RNA, 1695 nt
Organism: Chrysemys picta bellii (western painted turtle)
Lineage: Eukaryota; Metazoa; Chordata; Testudines; Emydidae
Source: RefSeq, a predicted model, not a curated record